Eupeodes corollae is the source of this 2848-nucleotide long non-coding RNA. RefSeq lists it as uncharacterized. The transcript is spliced from 4 exons. NCBI's taxonomy places the organism in Eukaryota, Metazoa, Arthropoda, Insecta, Diptera, Syrphidae. The record is from RefSeq and is a predicted model, not a curated record.
GUACAUACAUAUUUUAUUUUUUGCUGCACAAAAUCUACUAGUCAAUUUUUGAGGAAGUUAUCUUUUUGAAUAAAAAAAAUAAGAUCAGUUCUUUGCAAACUAGAAAAAAAUAUUAUUUUAAUUGUUGACACAUUAUGUACAAUGAGGUACAUACAUGUACAUUGAACAUAUGUAGGUACCUCAUCAUCCAAUUGACACGAGUCAACAACACUUCAUUACGUUUAAAAACAUAUAAAACAGAAAAAUGUAUUUGUGGAGAUUUUACAAAAUUGAAGAAAAAGAUGAAUUUAUAAAAAAAAUCCACAUGAAUGCACGAAACUAGCAUUUACAUAUCCGAUUGUAAGAACUCGAGCUAUAAAGACAACCUUGUCCUAGCUUUGUUUUUGUUUCUAUUUCCAAAGACAACUGUAAAUAUUCUUUUUUUCUCGUCGUCGACAAGCGAUCAACUCUCCUGCACCUAUUUUCAACGCAUUACCACCAGCCACACCACACCACAAAAAAUCAAAAUAAAACAGUUUUGUUUUCAUUUGUGAAGAAUGAUCAUGGUGUAUUAUGUGUUACUGUGCAUUAGGAUUAUGAGAGGAAAAGAACAUACAAAAAUGAUUUCAGAUUUUUCCUUGCCUUAGUUUUCAUUCAUAGGAAAGAACAUAGAGGAAAUAUAUUAUCUAGAGUCCCGACCGGUACCCGUCCUACCUGAAACACCCUCAAAUUUUAUUCGAGGUGAACUCUCCCAAAUUCGAGGUGAACUCUCACAAAUUCUCUAUCGGUGAAUACAUGUGAGUGGAGAAAAAAAAGCAAAAUGGGGGAUUGGGCUAAAAAGAAACUUAUGGAAUUUUUGUGACCUGUCAAAAAUGACAAUCAAUUUUGCAAAACAAAACAAUGGGUUUCGGAUUUUUAGAGUAAGUUUUUGUUAAUUGUUUUGAUUUUUAAUAUAAUUUGAUAUUUUUCAGACCAAAAUUCUUUAUAAUGAAGAGGGUAUAUACAAGUUCACUUCAUUGAAUAAAAAUUAAGUCAAAAUGCAGUGAAGGAGGUGCAACAAUAAUGGAUUUAUUUUAUGCCAAAAUGCAGGAAGCAAUUUCCUUUAAGUAAUUUGGAAAGCAAACCAAACAAGGCGCUGAUUUGCAGGUAAGUUUUUUGUAUAUUAUAUUUCUCUUAACAAAAUAAUAUCAAUGUUUUUAACUACAGAUACUGCCCAUUGUUUUUGUAUGUACUUCUCAACUGCAAUAGCUGCCGCAGGUGUUGAUGGCGGAGGUGUCACCAUCAAAACCAUUAGAAACAACACGACCAAGUCAAUGAUGCAAGUGGAAGUUUUGCCAUGUAAUAGUCGACCGCUGACGCCCUUCUCCAUCAAUUGUGUAAGUGUAAAGAGUACUACCAGUCUGCAGUUCUGCAAGAGACGCAAACAAAACAAGAAUACAAUCGCAGGAAGACUCCAAAAAAUGUCCAACCCUGACUGUAAGUGAGUUCAAAUUUUAAAUCUACAACGAAUCCAUUCAUUUUGCUCCUAAGGAUCGCACUGGCUUAACGGUGUCAAUCAUUCGAAAGCAAAUGAGCUGGCCCGACAAGAAUCCCCCAAGAAGCCAAACAGAUUCAGAUCAGUCUCUCGGCAGCUACUGACAAUGUCGGCGAAUUAAAUCUAUCGAUUUUCACACAGGAAAUCAACAUCAAAAAAAUCACGACAAUUCAGCAGCGUCAUGGUCAACCUGCCGAUCAACCAUUCACAGUGAACAACCUCUAUUCGUAGCAGAAGCGAUCUCUGCGUUGUCGACAAUGCGAACACAAUGUCAUCAAGCCGGAGUACCAUCCAGGAUCGAUCAAGUAUCGCAUUCAAUUGUUUGCUAACUACCAUGUGCCAGACGUUCUGCUUGUGCGUUGUUAAAAGCCACUGAAGCCUGGCACGUCCACUGAAUUGAUCCUCAAGCUAACUAACCCAACGAUGUACCAUAUGACCACAACCAUUAUGAAACUGCUAACCAAGGAAGAAGAACGGCGAAUGAUCGACUUCGAAUAAAAGUUCAACGAAAGGAACCAAAAUUCACCACUUGGAGAAAGUCCAAUAACGUAACAAUUAAAUUGAACUUCACACCUGAAGAAGGAUUGAAACCAGGCGAUGAUGUUACCCUUAGUUUCUUGAUGAAAUAUACUUUUGUGAAUACAUACACACGCCCGAAAAGAAAGAAUGUCAAAAACACGCAUUAUCAUCGAAAGUUUUUGUAAAAGUUGGUCAAAUUGAAGCCUAGAUUUAUUUCUAUGUAUAUCUAGAAAAUAAUCUUUUUUGCAAAAAAAUUGUUUAUUUAAUUGUUUAUUUUUGAUGCUGAUUACGAAUACGAACUUCGAUUUUAGCUAAAAAACUAUUUUCAACAUAAUUUUUGUCUAUUUUCAAUUUACUACAGGAACUUGAUGUUUUAACCUAAGACUUCAAAUUCGUAAUAAAAAGUACGAAACAAAUUUGAAUACUGAGGAAAAAUAUUGUAGGUUCGAAAAAACAUACAUAACUCAUUUUUUUUUUUGAAAAAAGCUAUUUCAUGAAUUUAGAUUAAAAAGUCUACAUGUUUAAUGAUUUAAAUAAUUCCUCAUCACAGAAAAGAAUACAAUAUUAAUAUUAAGGACUUUUAACUAAAAUGUGAAUUUUAAUUGCAUAAUCUAAACAAAUUGUUUUUAUUCAUAUACUCAUCCUUGCCAACAAAAAUGGAACAUUAACCAUUUUGAACGGAUCGAUUCAAAAUCGAACACUAUGAACAAAAGAAAACAUAAGAAAUUAACAACUUGAAAAUCCAAGAAGUUAAACUGCAACAAAGCAUUAACAGCACCAACAGUAAAUAAAUGAACGCUCAUAGAGUGAACUAUG